CCUACGGGAGGCAGCAGUGAGGAAUAUUGGUCAAUGGACGCAAGUCUGAACCAGCCAUGCCGCGUGCAGGAAGACGGCUCUAUGAGUUGUAAACUUCUUUUGUCCGAGGGUAAAAGCAGCUACGCGUAUCUUUCUGAAAGUAUCGUACGAAAAAGGAUCGGCUAACUCCGUGCCAGCAGCCGCGGUAAUACGGAGGAUUCAAGCGUUAUCCGGAUUUAUUGGGUUUAAAGGGUGCGUAGGCGGUCUGAUAAGUUAGCGGUGAAAUCCCGAGGCUCAACUUCGGAAUUGCCUCUGAUACUGUUCGGCUAGAGAGGAGUUGCGGUAGGCGGAAUGUAUGGUGUAGCGGUGAAAUGCUUAGAGAUCAUACAGAACACCGAUUGCGAAGGCAGCUUACCAAGCUACUUCUGACGUUGAGGCACGAAAGCGUGGGGAGCAAACAGGAUUAGAUACCCGGGUAGUC
Molecule: ribosomal RNA, 460 nt
Filed under: uncultured bacterium
Lineage: Bacteria
Description: partial 16S ribosomal RNA
Rfam family: Bacterial small subunit ribosomal RNA
Source: RNAcentral